GUUUAGGUAAUUAAAUUAUAAUGCUAGUUUGUGGAAUUAGAUUUAAUGGUUUGAGUCCAUUCUUUUACC
This 69-nucleotide transfer RNA is filed under the name Neogymnocrinus richeri. RNAcentral's name for it is "tRNA-His". It matches the Rfam family "tRNA". Rfam says of the family: Transfer RNA (tRNA) molecules are approximately 80 nucleotides in length. Their secondary structure includes four short double-helical elements and three loops (D, anti-codon, and T loops). The record is from RNAcentral. Lineage: Eukaryota; Metazoa; Echinodermata; Crinoidea; Cyrtocrinida; Sclerocrinidae.